AUUGAACGCUGGCGGCAGGCCUAACACAUGCAAGUCGAGCGGAUGAAGGGAGCUUGCUCCUGGAUUCAGCGGCGGACGGGUGAGUAAUGCCUAGGAAUCUGCCUGGUAGUGGGGGAUAACGUCCGGAAACGGGCGCUAAUACCGCAUACGUCCUGAGGGAGAAAGUGGGGGAUCUUCGGACCUCACGCUAUCAGAUGAGCCUAGGUCGGAUUAGCUAGUUGGUGGGGUAAAGGCCUACCAAGGCGACGAUCCGUAACUGGUCUGAGAGGAUGAUCAGUCAACGGGAAACGGAAAAAGGCCCAAGCCUCAUAGGGGAGGAAGCAGGGGGAAAUUUUGAACAAGGGGGGAAAGCUUGACCAAGCAUGGCCGGGGGGGUAAAGAAGGUCUUGGAAUUGAAAAGAAUUUAAGGUGGGGAGGAAGGAAAGAAAGUAAAUACCUGGCUGUUUGGACGUUACAAAAAAAAAAAGACCGGGCAAACUUCGUG
This 484-nucleotide ribosomal RNA is filed under the name uncultured bacterium. RNAcentral's name for it is "partial 16S ribosomal RNA". It matches the Rfam family "Bacterial small subunit ribosomal RNA", at positions 29 to 507 of the family's 1533-position model. The record is from RNAcentral.